UACGUAGGGUGCGAGCGUUGUCCGGAAUUACUGGGCGUAAAGAGCUCGUAGGCGGCUUGUCGCGUUGUUCGUGAAAAUUUACCGCUCAACGGUGAACUUGCGGGCGAUACGGGCAGGCUAGAGUACUGCAGGGGAGACUGGAAUUCCUGGUGUAGCGGUGAAAUGCGCAGAUAUCAGGAGGAACACCGGUGGCGAAGGCGGCCUUCUGGGUCGACCCUGACGCUGAGAGGCGAAAGCGUGGGGAGCGAACGGG
Molecule: ribosomal RNA, 253 nt
Filed under: uncultured bacterium
Lineage: Bacteria
Description: partial 16S ribosomal RNA
Rfam family: Bacterial small subunit ribosomal RNA
Source: RNAcentral